GUGCAACAUCAUUUUGGCAUGUGCCGUCUUGCACAACAUGGCUGAGAUAAACCGUGUGCCAUUUGACGCGCUGGCCCCAGACCCAGAAGUGCCAGUGGAGCAGUGGGCAGCACCACCGGCUUUAGGAGCUGUUCAGCUCAGACGGGACCUUAUUCGGCGGUUUUAAGGGACCUCAUCCGUCAGGACCCUUGGCCGUGGCGCACGGGAGGCUGGUGGACGGGCCUCGGCUUCCCCCGCUUGCACCUGCUCAGGCUCUGGGUGGGGCGCAAGGAUAGGCUCAGGCUCCUGGAUGGGCUGAGGGGGAGAUGCCUCGAGGGCGCUGGGGCCUGCAGUGCCAUCACCUGCAAAACAAUAGAGCAAAAUUUAAAUAAAAUGAGUUAACUAUG
Sander lucioperca (pikeperch) is the source of this 386-nucleotide long non-coding RNA. RefSeq lists it as uncharacterized. The record is from RefSeq and is a predicted model, not a curated record. The transcript has 2 exons. Lineage: Eukaryota; Metazoa; Chordata; Actinopteri; Perciformes; Percidae.